UUGAAGAUGAAAUCUUCCAGGAUGGCACUCACAGCUGACCUCCAAGGGGGUCAGGAGACCCACAGCAAAGGUCUCUGUGCUGCACCUGUGCUGACCCAGCCCCCGUCUGCUUCUGCCUCCCCGGGAGCCUCUGCCCAGCUCCCCUGCACCCUCAGCAGUGAGCACAGCAGCUAUACCAUUCCCUGGUAUCAACAGAGACUGGGAAAUGGCCCUCGGUACGUGAUGUACAUUAAGAGUGACGGAAGCCAGAAGAAGGGGGACAGGAUCCCUGAUGACUUCUCGGGCUCCAGCUCUGGGGCCAACUGCUACUUAACCAUCUCCAGCCUCCAGUCUGAGGACGAGACUGACUAUGUCUGUGGUGAGAGCCACACACACAACAGCCUUUUCACAGAAGCUGCAGAGACACAGACCAAAGAGGAGUGAGGCCCACACCUCCAUCCCCCAUCC
Molecule: non-coding RNA, 447 nt
Organism: Phyllostomus hastatus (greater spear-nosed bat)
Lineage: Eukaryota; Metazoa; Chordata; Mammalia; Chiroptera; Phyllostomidae
Source: the annotation of a RefSeq genome assembly